ACUAGGCAUGGUGGUGCGUGCCUGUAAUCCCAGCUACUCGGAAGUCUGAGGUGGGAGAAUUGCUUGAACCCAGGAGGUGGAGGUUGUAGUGAGCCAAGAUUGCGCCACUGCACUCCAGCCUGGGCGACAGAGCUAGACUCCACCUCAA
This is an unclassified non-coding RNA of Papio anubis (olive baboon), 148 nucleotides long. It matches the Rfam family "Metazoan signal recognition particle RNA". From Rfam's summary of the family: The signal recognition particle (SRP) is a universally conserved ribonucleoprotein. It is involved in the co-translational targeting of proteins to membranes. The eukaryotic SRP consists of a 300-nucleotide 7S RNA and six proteins: SRPs 72, 68, 54, 19, 14, and 9. NCBI's taxonomy places the organism in Eukaryota, Metazoa, Chordata, Mammalia, Primates, Cercopithecidae. The record is from Ensembl.